AUUUUCAUCAUUCCUAAAAGAGUAAUCUUCUCGAAAGGUAAACCCUAACAUUUUCUCUCCUCUUCUACUCAACUCGAGAUCAUCCUUAUGAAUUGCUCUCUCUACGGCUCUCUUCCCUUUACAUUUUGUGACUGCAACCCAACAUUUUAAAGUGGAGUCUGACGGUGAUGGGGGUUUUGUUGUUCAAAUUUAUGGUUUUUGGUGUGAUUUGUUUUGAGCUUCAGGAUUCAUGUGUACAACAAUGAGGAUUUGAUAUUGUGCGCAUUGCCGUACCACGACACACAUGCAUUUGUUCGAAUAGUACAAAUACUUGAUAUAAGGAAUGGUACAUGGGGGUUUCUGCAGGGCACCGCCACUUAGAAUGGUUAUAGUGCAGCAAUGCCUUUGUGAUAAGGGCGUAUUAGAAGUACUAUGCAACUACGUGGGCAUCUCCAUCUAAGAAGUUUCAACCUUCGAAGAAUGUAAUUGCCUUUUGUACUGCUGUUUUCAUUGAACUUUUGGGGACUGUUGUGACGGUUGAGGAUGAUAUUGUCAAGAGAAUACUUCCUUUUGUGGUCUCUAG
Molecule: long non-coding RNA, 562 nt
Organism: Vicia villosa (hairy vetch)
Lineage: Eukaryota; Viridiplantae; Streptophyta; Magnoliopsida; Fabales; Fabaceae
Exons: 3
Source: RefSeq, a predicted model, not a curated record